GGGAGCCUGACUCUCGAGGACAGCAUUUUUAUGUCAUGUGGCAUUUAAGUGUAAAUAUGGAGUUUAUUACUGACGAUCCGCCGUGAACAGGCUCACCUGUCCCACUUGACAUUAACUGGCACCAUGAGGAGGUCUGGUGAAAAGGUCGAAGCAAUCUGCAGAACGAGAGGCUGAGAGGACACACGGGUGCAGAGAAAAGUUGAACAGGGUCUUAACAUUCUGCAAAACGGGACUAUGAGACCACACGGCUGUGGAAAAGAGUUGAACAGAUCAAAUCAACGGGGAUGCGGACACAUCAGCUUGGGUCAGAUGCCACUGUAUAUUAAAUGCAGUAGAUUUGUUAAUUUGAGCUAAAACAUGUUUAAUAAAAUUAUGAUGUGUAUUAAAAAAUCAAGCAUAAUGGCACAUUUUAACUAUUCUGUACAUGAAAAGUAACCCAAAUCUUACUGGGAGCACCCAGCAUGUUUUGGUCAAUCUGUGUUGAAAGUGGAUCUGUAAGAUUUCUUCUUCAAAUUCUCCAAGAAGGUCUGCUGUUCUUCGAGGUAUUCACGAUCCUGCGGGAGGGAAGGGAAAGUAAUUAGGAACAGGAACCGAUACUGAAAUGUUUCAAGACAGUGGUCUUAAGUGUUAUGCAUCUUGUUUGAUGGAUGCUGUCAUUGUAAUGUAAUAAGCCUGUUUCACUUUGAUACUUACAUUAAAAACCUUUACAGUAA
Molecule: long non-coding RNA, 713 nt
Organism: Plectropomus leopardus (leopard coralgrouper)
Lineage: Eukaryota; Metazoa; Chordata; Actinopteri; Perciformes; Serranidae
Source: RefSeq, a predicted model, not a curated record